Long non-coding RNA from Manis pentadactyla (Chinese pangolin), 429 nucleotides. RefSeq lists it as uncharacterized. The transcript has 3 exons. Lineage: Eukaryota; Metazoa; Chordata; Mammalia; Pholidota; Manidae. The record is from RefSeq and is a predicted model, not a curated record.
AGCAGAAGUGACGGGUGCAGCUAUGAGCUCCCUAUUAGGGAAGAAAAGUGUACGAGCACCUUCUUUUUAGCCUUCUGGUCGGCUAGAAUGAACAGACCAGGAGAGAGAAACUGCAAGUGGAAGCAGCUCCGAGGAAGCAGGAGCCAUCCCCACCAGUGUGGCUUUGACACUAGAGGGGACACGAGGGACUGUUCUGCAGUCGGCUCACCCCAGACUGCCCAUCACUCAAACCAGAGAUAAAGCUGCGGCCAAAUGCAUCACUCCCCGCUUUUCCUUCUGCUAAAGAACAUACAGGCUCCUAAACCUCUGCAUGGAUUUGGAGGCCCACAAGUCAGUUUAAGAUGAUGCAGAUAUUCAUGAUAUCACUGGAAUUAUGCUCAAAGCAGGAAAGCUUGAUCUGGAAAGAGGUGAGAUUGAUAUUCCUCACCU